Molecule: unclassified non-coding RNA, 372 nt
Filed under: uncultured Gammaproteobacteria bacterium
Lineage: Bacteria; Pseudomonadati; Pseudomonadota; Gammaproteobacteria
Description: contains 16S-23S intergenic spacer region
Source: RNAcentral
UCCGGUUUGUCACCGGCAGUCUCAUUAGAGUGCCCUUUCGUAGCAACUAAUGACAAGGGUUGCGCUCGUUGCGGGACUUAACCCAACAUCUCACGACACGAGCUGACGACAGCCAUGCAGCACCUGUGUUCCGGUUCUCUUUCGAGCACUCCCACAUCUCUGCAGGAUUCCGGACAUGUCAAGGGUAGGUAAGGUUUUUCGCGUUGCAUCGAAUUAAACCACAUCAUCCACCGCUUGUGCGGGUCCCCGUCAAUUCCUUUGAGUUUUAAUCUUGCGACCGUACUCCCCAGGCGGCCUACUUCACGCGUUAGCUUCGUUACUGAGGAAAUAAAUCCCCAACAACUAGUAGGCAUCGUUUAGGGCGUGGACUAC